AUUUAUGGCUACUUACCUGAUUUGUUGUGGAAUUGGCUCUCCAUCUUUGCCUUGACAAAAUGAUUUGCCUGUCCAUAGUGCAGCUAUGCACAUUUCUGGUUCCCUCUCGAUUUCAAGGCUGUCAAAAUCUCCUUUUCAUGAGUUAUGGCCAAGAGAGAGGGAAAGAGGAAAACAUAGAGACUCAAAGUAAUUUCUUUAUUCAACUGAGCUUAUGUGGCAAUCUACUUAACUGAUGUAGUUAUGGAGCAUAUCUUUUUUGACUGAAAGUAAUUUCUUUAUUUAACUGAGCUCAUAUUAGCACACGUGUAAGUAUUUAUAUCUCUAACUCAUGUUAUUUAUUAAUCUCCUUGACCUUCCUAACAGAUUUAGUUACUCUAACAUCUAACUCAGCCACGUGUGUC
This is a long non-coding RNA of Neltuma alba, 401 nucleotides long. RefSeq lists it as uncharacterized. The record is from RefSeq and is a predicted model, not a curated record. The transcript is spliced from 3 exons. Lineage: Eukaryota; Viridiplantae; Streptophyta; Magnoliopsida; Fabales; Fabaceae.